This is an RNA transcript of Zonotrichia leucophrys gambelii, 7438 nucleotides long. It is a transcript of the gene named 5-hydroxytryptamine receptor 4, with no coding region annotated. The transcript has 8 exons. NCBI's taxonomy places the organism in Eukaryota, Metazoa, Chordata, Aves, Passeriformes, Passerellidae. The record is from RefSeq and is a predicted model, not a curated record.
UUUGCCAAAACCCCUCAGAUCUUUAAAAAGCGGCUCCAGUCGAGCAAGUUAUAGUAACAUGGGCUUGCUCCGCUUCCCUUCUGCACACAAGCAACCAAACCACGCCACCGAUCCCCGAAUCGCUCCGAAAGGGAGGGAGAAGCAUCGGCGAGAAUUCUCGGGAUAAAGGGAGAGCUGCGCUGCCCGCACGGCUCCGGGGCGAGCUCGGGGUUGGUCUCUGGGGAGGAGCGGCCCCGGCUUUCCCCGGGCGGGGCGGGGACAGCGCGGGCACCCCCGCGCUCCGUGCGGGGCCGGGGGAGGCGCUGCCCGCGGAGCCUCGGCGGGAGCGCGGCCCCGCACCCGCACCCGGACAGACGGAAUCCCGGGCAGGACAGACCGCACCCGCACCUGGGCAGGAGCUCAGCCCCGCACCCGCACCUGAGCGGGCAGGACAGACAGACCGCAUCCCUGGCAGGACAGACCGCAUCCUCACCUGGGCGGGCAGGAGGCUCCGCAUCCGCACCCGGGCAGCGCCGGCAGCCGCCCUGCCCCAUCCCGCCAGCAUGAGCGGCAGCACCGGGGGAGCCGCGCCGGGCACCGCGGGGCUCUGCCCCGGCCACGGAUGAGGUCUCUCCUAUGGACAUUGAACUCCCAGCUGCCUGAGCCUGCUGCCUGUGAUGGAAGAGCUGGAUGUGAAUGUGAGUUCCAGUGAGGGCUUCGGCAUCGCGGAGAAGAUCCUGCUGCUCUCCUUCGUCUCCGCCGUCAUCCUCAUGGCCAUCCUGGGCAACCUGCUGGUCAUGGUGGCCGUGUGCCGGGACAGGCAGCUCCGGAAAAUCAAGACCAACUAUUUCAUCGUGUCCCUGGCCUUUGCUGACCUGCUGGUGUCGGUGCUGGUGAUGCCCUUUGGAGCCAUGGAGCUGGUCCAGGACAACUGGAUCUAUGGGGAGAUGUUCUGCCUGGUGAGGACCUCGCUGGACGUGCUGCUGACCACAGCGUCCAUCCUGCACCUCUGCUGCAUCUCCCUGGACAGGUACUAUGCCAUCUGCUGCCAGCCCCUGGUGUACAGGAACAAGAUGACCCCGCUGCGCAUCGCGCUGAUGCUGGGGGGCUGCUGGGUGAUCCCCACCUUCAUCUCCUUCCUCCCCAUCAUGCAGGGCUGGAACAGCAUAGGCAUCAUUGAUCUGAUCCAGCAAAGGCAGUUCAACAAGGCCUCCAACUCCACCUACUGCAUCUUCAUGGUGAACAAGCCGUACGCCAUCACCUGCUCCGUGGUGGCCUUCUACAUCCCCUUCCUGCUGAUGGUGCUGGCCUACCACCGCAUCUACGUGACGGCGCGGGCGCACGCGCGGCAGAUCCGCCUGCUGCAGCGCGCGGGGAACCCGGCCGAGCCCCGCCAGGGCCCCCAGGAGCCACGGCAGAGCCUUCAGGAGACACAGCAACACCUCCAGGAGACACAUCAGGGCCUUCAGGAACCACGGCAGGGCCAACACCCCCAGGAGCCACAUCAGGGCCCUCAGGAGCCACGGCUGGACCCUCAGGAACCAUGGCGGGGCCUUCACGAGCCACAGCAACACCCCCAGGAGCCACAUCAGGGCUUGCAGGAGCCACGGCAGCACCCCCCUGACCAGCACAGCAGCCACCGCAUGAAAACAGAGACCAAAGCUGCCAAGACCCUGUGCAUCAUCAUGGGCUGCUUCUGCCUCUGCUGGGCUCCCUUCUUUGUCACCAAUAUCGUGGAUCCCUUCAUUAACUACACGGUGCCCGGCAAGCUGUGGACGGCCUUCCUGUGGCUGGGCUACAUCAACUCGGGCUUGAACCCUUUCCUCUACGCCUUCCUCAACAAGGCUUUCAGACGUGCCUUCCUCAUCAUCCUCUGCUGCGGCGACGAGCGCUACCGAAGGCCUUCCAUCCUGGGCCAGACCGUGCCCUGCUCCACCACCACCAUCAACGGCUCCACGCACGUGCUGAGGGUAAACAGCUGGAAGUGUUGAACUCACUGCCAGAGGCUUCAGGCAGACACUUUGUGCCACACGACAUCCUGGGACACCUCAAUGACUCCUCUUUAGCUUAAUGAACCUCUAACAAUCAGCACCACCUGCUCUUGCUGCUCUUGCUCCACUCUGGGACGGCCGCAGAACACGGAGGAAGGUACAAGGUGUUACACAACGGGCACCACCAGGAACAAGAGAAGCUUCCCAUCCACCCCGACCCCGAAUCCCAAGAGUCCUGUUUCUAGUCCUGGCCCAGAAGAGGAGGAACAGAGGCAUUUUAGGAUAUCCCAAGGAUUCACAGACAGCUGCACUUGAAAACCCAUCCAUCUGCAUUGUCCUGGUGCUUCCUGCAGUGAAUUCCCAGGAAUGUCCAGCUGUGGGAGCUGGGUGGGAGCACGGGGAUGGUCAGGACUGCUGUCCCUGUCCCUGUCCCUGCAGGAGCAGCUGGAGCUGUGCCAGAGCCCUGCUCCAGGAGUGAGGCAUUCCUGGCAAAGCCAGGGCCAAAACAGCUCCAAACCAGCCCGUGCAGGGACUCUGCUGCUCCUUUCCUCUCCUGCUGCCCCCUGCCCAGCCCACCCCACCCUGCAGGCCACAGCUGUGGGGUGGCACCGAGCUGCCCCAUCCCUGCUGGCUCUGCCUGGGCACUGCCAGGGCAGGAGCAGCCCCGCGUUUCUCCAGGAGAACAAGAGGAAAUGUUUGCUGCCCUUUGGUUCUGCUGCUCCCCGAGCCUGCAGAGCUCUGCCCUGCCCUGCCCUGGUGGGGUUUCCUGGCCAGGGAGGAGCCCGGGAGCUGAGUGGGAGCAGCCCAGCCCAGAGCCGUGGCCCUGCUCUGCCAUUCCCAUUCCCAGGGGAUGGGACGUGUCCUGGAGCCCAGAGCUGUCCCCAUCCCUCCCUGAGCAAACUUUGGGCGUUCUGAGGCAGCAGAAGCUUGGCCAGAGCCAAUGGAUCACUAAGUGCCAUCUUGGAAACAAACCACCUAAACCCUUUUCUAGCUACACUUGGAGGAGAGACUUCUACUUACCUUUGCCACCUUUAUUUUUCUAUCUGUUGCUGGUCUCUUCCAGUCGAGGCAAGGAGUUUUCCAGACUUUCCAGUCUCACCUUUGCCAAGAUCUCAGUCCUCAGCUGCUUCCUGCAUGUUGGUGUUGCCACGUUCCUCGUGGGCUGCUUCCCCCUUUGCAUGGAAAGGGUGGGCAAGGCUCUGAACUCCACAAAUUUGGGAAAAGGAUUUUCAUGCAGGAUCAAGAGCACGAGCCUCGACCCUUUUUAGGUGAAGAUCUACCCCAAGAUGCCACCCUGAGCCUAGAAAAUACAAUGGUACUUUGUCAUAUCGUGGAACCAUGUACAGAUAUUUUUAAUGUACAAAGAAAAGCUGGCAUUAUUUAUUAUUUUUUAUCAGGAACAUGUGGUUUUUUCAUUAAAAGCUUCUAGACCAAGGAGCUUAACAUGUUAUGUAUUAUUAUUUAGUAAUAUUUCUGUUGCUAUGUGACAGGUAUUUACUGCAAACAGACAAAUCCUGCUCAGAACAAAAAUGUUGCUCAGUAGGAGAAAUGUUGUGCAUGAGAAGAACAAGUGGCUUCCUGGCCAUGGUGUCUGACUUCUUUAAAUAUUUCUUCCACAGCAAAGUCACUGGUAAAGCUUCACACCCUUUUUCUGUAGGAUUCAGAAGGACACUGGGCAGAAACAGCCCCAGCUAGAAUGCUGAGGUAGAAAAUUGCUGGCUGAUGAAAAGACACAAAUUAUUGGUGUUUGUGGUGGAAGGUGCUCCUGGUUCAUCUCUGGGACCUGGUUGGCAAUGACCUGUUUUUACAGGGUUUUAUUUCCAAAAAAAACUUAAUUUAAUUUUACUCUUGACACCAGAACUGUGGAGAGAAAAAAGCUAUUAUUGAAAAUUUGGAAAAAAAACAUCCAGAGCUGCUUCAGUGCUGUGAUCUGUGGAAGUGCCCACAGGGGUUUGUUGGGCUUUGGGCACAUGAGGCUGCAGAACAGCUUGGCUUGGUUUCCCCUCAAGUGUCCAAUUUCUCAAAGAAAUCCUGAAAAAAAGCUUUUCUCUGUCCCCAUUGAAGGGCAUCAAAUCUUGGUGUGAAAUUUCCUGGAGUGAGAUGGAACCAGCAGCACAGGGAGGGGUUCUUUGGUUCUGCUUUGUCCUUCAGGCAUUGUUUUCUCCUUUGUUUUAUGUGCAUUAGGGAAAGAUCUCUUUUUAAUUUAAAACAAACUCCCAGUUUCCCCAGGGACAACAUUCCCAAGGCUCUGUCAAUGGGAGCAGUGGCUCACCAGCCAAAAUGGUCAAAGGCUCUCACUGGGGAAAGGCUCCUCCAUUCCAAGUGGAUGAAAUUCCAAACACCAGGAAUUCCAUCCUCACCAGCCAAAAUGGUCAAAGGCUCUCACUGGGGAAAGGCUCCCCCCUUCCAAGUGGAUGAAAUUCCAACCACCAAAUGUCCCUGUCCUGGAUGGACACCAGGACACCUCUGAUCCCUCCCUGCUGCUCACUCAGCCAACAAUCCCAGCACAGCUUCUGUGACCCAGCAGUGGAGAAUUCCCUGCACAAGGAGGGGUCUCAUGGAGAGCCCCACUCUGCAUCCCCUGGCUGCUCCUGUGGCCUCCCCGUUCAGCUUUGCCCAUCGUGGCUGGUGGUGCCGGUCCUUGCCUGUGCUCAGUGUCUGUGCUGCAGUGCCUGUUCCUACAAAUAAAAACUCCUCUCUGGAUGUGGCAGUGAAUUCCAGUUGGGCUCAUUUCUGGUGCUGCUGGCACUCCAGGCUGGGAGCAGGAGCCUCCUCCCAGCUGCCCCAAAGGAGGCUCCAGGGGCUGGAGCACGGAGGGGAAUCUGCAGGGGCAGGCUCAGGGUGGGCACAGCAGGAAUUUCCCCAUGGAAAGGGGGCUCAGGGCAGGCUCAGGGUGGGCACAGCAGGAAUUUCCCCAUGGAAAGGGGGCUCAGGGCAGGCUCAGGGUGGGCACAGCAGGAAUUUCCCCAUGGAAAGGGGGCUCAGGCACUGGAACUGCCCAGGGAGCUGUGCAGAGCCACAAGGGCCCCCCUGAGCCUCCUUUGCUCCAGGCUGAGCCCCUUCCCAGCUCCCUCAGCCUCUCCUGGAGCUCCAGCCCCUUCCCAGCUCCAUCUCCUUUCCUGGACACGCUCCAGCCCCUGCAGGUCCCUCCUGCCCAAGGACCCAGAACUGGACACCCCCUCAGCAGGGCCAGCACAGGGGACAGGCCCUGCCCUGCUCCUGACUGUCCCCCUGCUCACAGGAAUUUGUUCAUUCCCAAUUGGGAUUUAUUUGCAGUCCAGGAGCCCCCACCUUGUCCUGGCCCCUUACCUGGAGGAUUCCCAGGUCCCUGUGGAGCUGCUGAUGGGAUCAGAGCCAUCCAAAGGGAUUCAUGUGAGAAAUGGAAGCCAAGGGUCCCCUGGAUGUGGAUCCCCUGCUGCAGAGACACUUUUUUGGCAAACUCUGCUCCUCCAGGGGUGUCUGUUCCACCAAAGGACACUUCAGGGAGGAGGAACAUUGGGAAUGUCACUGAAACCUGCAGAGCUGACAGGUAAACAAUGCUCACCUUGCCUCUGAUUCAAAAUGGCUCUGAUUUUACCUCAUCUGCUCCUCCUGUCCCCUGCUGGCUCCAGAGCUCUGGGAACAAUCAGCAAUGCUGCAUUAGCUACAUAAAUGCUGCUUUUGCAUUUCCAAAUACUCUCAGUUUAGGGACUGCUGCAGGUAUCUCCAGCCUAAAGCUCACCUCACCCAAGAUCGUGGCUUUAGGGUGGAGUUCACUCCCAGCUGGCCCUGCUCAGCAAGAGGAGGGAGACUCUGAAGGUAUUUAAGGCACUUCUUUGUGUCAGCCUGACUUAAUAACGUGCCCAGAACCAACCAAUGGGGCCCAGAUCGUGUCCAGCUCGUUCCCAGCACAGAUGAAAAGCAGGAGCAGCUCCAGCCAGGAGCUGCUUUGGGAGCAGGCAGCCCACACAGGCACUGAGUCAUUCCCACCCAGCUCACAGUGCUGAAGGCAAGGAGAGCAUUUCCAUUCUGUACCUGGCAGCUGGGAGCCCUUCCCCAGUUCAGGAUCCCCUUUUCCUCCACAUUUGAGCCCCUGAGCCACCUCUGAGCACUCCCAGGCCAAAAGGCAAGAAAUCUGCAGGGGAAUAAUAACACAGACUCAAUAAAAAGAUACCAAAGCUUUUAGUUCUUCCAGUUUUUGUAUAAAUCUUCCUGAACAAAGCCCCAGUUUAUCUCCUGCCAACCCCCAGGGAGUGCUGAGGAGCUGAAGGGAGCUCUCCAGGGGAUGGGCCCUGGUUUUGGCUGCCCUGUUGUCACAUGCAGGGCACACAGGGCCAAGGUGUCCCUGUCCCACCUGACAAAAGGUGAAGUUGGAAUUGCUUAACUGGGAGCUAAAUGUGAAAAUCCUGGGCAAGGGGAUCCUCACACCCUGAGCAGCCUGGAGAGAGAGCAGGGGCAUCAUUCCUGUCUGCAUCAACCCCUUUCAGCUUCUCAAACAAAAACACUUCCAAAAGCCUUCCCUUUCUGAAACCCAAGCACUGGUUCUGCUCCUCAAGGAGAGGGAAAAGCAGCCCCAGCACAGUGAGCAGGAGGCUGUGCCCCUGUGCUGGGCCCAAACACACCCUGGCCUUUCCCUGUUUACCUUCUGUACUAUUUGGAUGACAUUUCCAGGCCCCUGAGCCUCUCCCAGCUGGGAUCUCUGCAUCCUUUUCCAGGAGGAGCUGUGGGAAAAGCAGCACCAGAGUCAGCUCAGGCUCAGUCCCAGCCAGUGGAACCUCCAGCAGCAGCUGGAUGGACCUGGGCUGCUCAGUGCUCCCCAGGGACUGCAAGAGGAGCCCCCUGUGACUGUAAGAGCCCUUCUGACUCUGCUCCUGCACACAGGGACAGCAACCCCACCAAGAUUUCACCUCCCAGAGUGGCUGAGUCAGCUCUGACCCAGGGAAGAAAUUCCUGCUCUGUUUUCCCCAAAGCCACAUCCAGGGGAAGCAGGGCACACAGGUGGUGCCCUCACAUUUCCUCCAUCAAUUCCUUACCUUUGCAGCUCAGUGCUGGCCAGGCUGCCUUUGGAGCUCCCUCUGGGACCCAGGAGCAAACAGGCCUGGAGCCCAGCCCGUCCCCACAGAGCUGCAAUCGGUGCUGCAGGAGCAGCAGCACCACUGUGCCCUCACCUGAGGGACAGCAGCUGCUCCUCCAGUCAUGCACCAGGCACAGGAGGGAGGAGAAGCCUGGCACACAAACAUCUGAGCUGGGCAGAGCCAGGGAAACCUUCCCUGCUGUGGUGAUUGAAUAAAAGUGCCCAAAACAGCCAGGAAAUGGAGAGAGGAAGAAGCUCAGAGCCAAAAGAUCAAACCCCCAGAAGAUCCCAGCUCCUCCCUCCCCACAGCCCUCAGGAGAUGGACACAGGGGAUUCAGGCACUGGUGUAAAACGGGUGUCACAUUUCAGAGGGCAAAAUCACUGCAAGGUUCAAUUACUUCCAGAGAUACUGAAU